This is a small nucleolar RNA of Camelus dromedarius (Arabian camel), 72 nucleotides long. The record is from Ensembl. NCBI's taxonomy places the organism in Eukaryota, Metazoa, Chordata, Mammalia, Artiodactyla, Camelidae.
UGGGCCAGUGAUGACAACUGGUGACAUGUGUCUUGGAUGAUGAAAAUAAAUGUCUGAAACUCUGAGAUCCAA